RNAcentral lists this ribosomal RNA (274 nucleotides) under uncultured bacterium. Its description in RNAcentral is "partial 16S ribosomal RNA". It matches the Rfam family "Bacterial small subunit ribosomal RNA", at positions 523 to 796 of the family's 1533-position model. The record is from RNAcentral.
AUACGGAGGGUGCAAGCGUUACUCGGAAUCACUGGGCGUAAAGCGCGCGCAGGCGGGCUGAUAAGUUGGAUGUGAAAGCCUACGGCUCAACCGUAGAACUGCAUCCAAAACUGUCAGUCUAGAGUCCGGGAGGGGAAGAUGGAAUUAGUUGUGUAGGGGUAAAAUCCGUAGAGAUAACUAGGAAUACCAAAAGCGAAGGCGAUCUUCUGGAACAGUACUGACGCUGAGGCGCGAAAGCGUGGGGAGCAAACAGGAUUAGAAACCCUAGUAGUCC